UGACAAAGCAGUUCUGUUUUCACAGAAGGAGCGUGUGCUGCUGUAGGCAUCCUACGGAUGGGGCAGGGCAGGGCACGGCGCUCAGCUGAGACAUCUGCCCUCUUCUGUGUUGGUUUGGGCAGGAAACUUCCACCCAGGCAUUCUAUCAGGGCAGGAUAACAACAUUUGGGCUUUCUGAUGAUGGCUCACAGGGCCACGGGAUCAGGGGGCGCGCUGCAUGCUCAGCCCAUCCAUCACUCAUCAGUGUCACAGCAGAGGAUAAAUAUUUACAAAUGGAUUGUCAGUUCUGCUGUGACAAAUUAUCCCCAGCCAUCGCCGAGACGGUUCGAGAUGUGUUGAGCCAGACCUAAACGUUUGGUUAAGAAAUGUCUGAGAGGGAAAUCAGCGUGAAAGAAAGGAAAGCUGCCUGUGCCUGAAGGCCUCGCACUGAAGGACAAAACAUAGCAUCAUAGCAUUGUUAGUGCUGGAAAAGCCCUCUCGGAUCAUCUAAUCCAACCACAGACCAACAUGGAGCAGCUGCCUUCGCACUGCAUUCUUGCCCCUGGUUUGGGACGUCCAUACUUAGCAACGGGAGGAACUCCUUAUCGCCACGGCGGGUGGAGGAGGACGGCACAGCCACGCUCGGGAUGCAAGCUGCACGUUGGAGGAAGAAUAGAUUUUCUUUCUCCUUCGUUAUCCUUUGGCCACAAACGUGUACUUAAAAGUCCUGCAAACUCUAUUUCUGGGAGUGGAACAACUUGAAAGAGAAAUCAAUAAACAACCUCCGCUGAAUAAAGAUUUCAGCAGUCGGAAUGCUUAAAUUCCCAGCGCCAUUGAUACGCAGAUACCUGAAACCCAUCAGCACUGGGAACGCUUUGCUUCAUUCUACCGCAGCUCAAUACUGCGAG
RNAcentral lists this long non-coding RNA (887 nucleotides) under Gallus gallus (chicken). RNAcentral's name for it is "lncRNA (ENSGALG00010026745.1)". Lineage: Eukaryota; Metazoa; Chordata; Aves; Galliformes; Phasianidae. The record is from RNAcentral.